AGAACCCCAGGAUGGGUCAGGCUGGAGGGGCCCACAGGGGCUCCUCUGGUGCCACCUCCCUGCUCCAGCAGGGCCAUCCCAGAGCCCAGGGCACAGCAGUGUGUCCAUGUGGCUCUGCAAUAUCCCCAGGGAGGAGACUGCACAGCCUCCCUGCACAAUCUGUUCAGGGCUGGGCACUGCCCAGGGCACAAGUUCUGACUCCUGUGCAGGGCAGGGCCUGGGCUCAGCCCCUGCCGUGGCUCUGGUGCCAUUGCUGGGCCUGGAGCAGAGCCUGGGCCUGCUCUGCCCCUCCUGUACCCAGGGACAGUCAGGGGUGGACAGGGAUAGACAGGGACACACAGGGACAGCCAGGGACAGCCAGGGACAGCCAGGGACAGACACAGGGACAGCCAGGGACAGCCAGGGACAGACACAGGGACACACAGGGACAGCCAGGGACAGCCAGGAACACACAGGGACAGCCAGGGACAGACACAGGGACAGCCAGGGACAGCCAGGGACAGACACAGGGACACACAGGGACACACAGGGACACACAGGGACAGACACAGGGACACACAGGGACAGACACAGGGACAGACACAGGGACAGCCAGGGACAGCCAGGGACAGCCAGGGACAGACACAGGGACAGACACAGGGAGCGACAGGGACACACAGGGACAGACAGGGACAGACAGGGACAGACAGAGGGACAGACACAGGGACAGACACAGGGACAGACAGGGACACCCAGGGACACACACAGGGACAGACACAGGGAGCGACAAGGACAGACACAGGGACACCCAGGGACACCCAGGGCUGCGGGCCCCUCUCAGCUGGGGCUCCUCUCCAGGCUGAGCAGCCCCAGCUCCCUCAGCCUCCCCUGGGCACCGAGAUGCUCCAGGCCCUUCCUCAGCUCCAGGAGCUCCUGUCCCUGCUCUGCUGAGGAUCCGGAGCUGGACACAGCACUCCAGAGGUGCCUCCAGGGCUGGCCACAGGGGCAGGAUCCUUCCCUGACCUGCUGGAAAGGCUCUUCCCCAUGGCCCCUUGGCCCCAGGACACUGCUGGCUCAGGGACAGCUCCGUGUCCC
Molecule: long non-coding RNA, 1074 nt
Filed under: Cyanistes caeruleus (blue tit)
Lineage: Eukaryota; Metazoa; Chordata; Aves; Passeriformes; Paridae
Description: lncRNA (ENSCCEG00000004066.1)
Source: RNAcentral